This 1441-nucleotide long non-coding RNA is filed under the name Homo sapiens (human). RNAcentral describes it as "HSALNT0193494". The record is from RNAcentral. Lineage: Eukaryota; Metazoa; Chordata; Mammalia; Primates; Hominidae.
CACCAGUAAGGUUUUCUGAAGCUUUCUUUCCACCAGGGAAGACUGCAAAGGCCAGAGAUCAUUUUCACAACUAAAGGUCGUCAUCUGGGCAAAUGAACCACUCUGACUUGGAGAUUAGGGGCUCAGACAGCCGUGGAUGAGAGUCCAGCUCUACUACUUAUUAGCCUUGAUUAGCCCACAGUGACUUUCCAAAACUUUGACCCCUCUGCCAGGACCUUCUCGACAUCCACCUCUAAUUCUCAGAAGGAGACCUUACUUCCUACAUCUGUGAGAAAACUGAGGACUGCACAUGUGAACCACCUUAACCUUCUGCCCCACCCCCCCCCAUUCAUUCCUUGACUCAUUUAACAAAUAUUUUUUCAACACCUGUUAUGUAACAAGCUCUAUGCGAGGUGCUGGGGAUGAAAUAAAUAACAAACACGCUCUACAUUCAUGAGGCUUACUGUCUGGUGAUGGAUAAAGCUGUAUAAAGAUGACUAAUAAGAGGUCUAACUAUCUUCAUGCUGCAAAACAACCCAAACUACUGCAUGCUCCAGUUGACUGUCACUGCCGAGACCAGCUUCUGAGUAAUUUCAGCCCAGGCAUCAGACUAGUGAGGGAAGGAGCUUCCAGGUGAUACCACCUCCCAGCCAUACUGUGAGAGGGAUGGGAAAGACUGGUGCUUGGGGUGGCCAUCUGACCCCUGAUGGACAGGAGACCAGGACAAGCCCACUGGAUGAGCCGGAGGGGUCCAGGAGGAGGGAGUUGAGAGCUCCUGCUAGGGUUGACACAUUCUGGUAAGGAGUUCAUCUGCUGUCCACCAGGUAGGUGGUGUGCAAAUACAACUAAGCAUUCAUGUUUAAGGUUUUUUUUUAAUUUUUUAUUUUUCGAGGCAGAGUCUCCAUUGCCCAGGCUGGAGUGCAAUGGCGCCAUCUCGGCUCACUACAACCCCUGCCUCCCAGAUUAAAGUGCUUAUCCUCCCUCAGCCUCCUGAGUAGCUGGAAUUACAGUCGUGCCUCCACGCCCAGCUAAUUUUUGUAUUUUUAGUAGAGACGGGGUUUCACCAUGUUGGCCAGGCUGGUCUCAAACUCCUGACCUCAGGUGAUUCACCCGCCUUGGCCUCCCAAAGUGCUGGGAUUACAGGCAUGAACCACUGCGCCCGGACUUAUGUUUAAGGUUAUUUAAAAAGCAAAGCAAAAUCCUAACCAUGUUGAAUUUUUGAAUCUGCAGCAGAUUCAAAUUAAUGAAUUUAAAUCAUAUAUCAGGUAAAAUACUACCUUGACAUAUUUUGUGAUCAUACUGAGAGAAAAUUAAUAUAAAGCUAAUUCAAAAUUUUUUAAUUUGUAAAUCAAAAGAUUAAACCUUGUUAAAAUUUACAAAGAAUAUGCCACUAUAAGAAGAAGUAGCUCAACUUUAUUUCAGUAAAAUCACCAACAAAACAAUAAAAAGCCAAAACUAAAAA